AUGAAAAUUUCCACAAGAAAAUUGGUGCAGUCAAUCACAAACUCCCCUGGAAAAGUCUUUGAAAUGUUGCACACGAUUCUUCUGAUCAGGAUCGAGCCAGCCCCAUAUAUAUCCACAUACACCAUCGCGUUGCUAACAGUGGGCAAGCGUGGGAGCCUUGCAGCAGGUUGCCUCUCCAAACCUAUACAAGCAAAAGCGAACGAGUGAGGAGCAUGGCGUCUCAUGAUAGUCGAAGAAGAAGAAGAGGACUUGCCGUUCUCGCUUUCGUUGCCUCCAUGUUCUGGUUGCUGGCAUCGCAGUCCAUUUGCGACGGCCGAGUGUUGAACUACUCGAUUGAUCCGAGCUUGUGGUUGGCGCUUCUUC
Musa acuminata AAA Group (dessert banana) is the source of this 363-nucleotide long non-coding RNA. RefSeq lists it as uncharacterized. NCBI's taxonomy places the organism in Eukaryota, Viridiplantae, Streptophyta, Magnoliopsida, Zingiberales, Musaceae. The transcript has 2 exons. The record is from RefSeq and is a predicted model, not a curated record.